ACCAAGGCGACGAUCAGUAGGGGUUCUGAGAGGAAGGUCCCCCACAUUGGAACUGAGACACGGUCCAAACUCCUACGGGAGGCAGCAGUGAGGAAUAUUGGUCAAUGGGCGAGAGCCUGAACCAGCCAAGUAGCGUGCAGGAUGACGGCCCUAUGGGUUGUAAACUGCUUUUAUAGGGGAAUAAAAUGAUCCACGUGUGGUUUUUUGCAUGUACCCUAUGAAUAAGGACCGGCUAAUUCCGUGCCAGCAGCCGCGGUAAUACGGAAGGUCCGGGCGUUAUCCGGAUUUAUUGGGUUUAAAGGGAGCGUAGGCCGGAGAUUAAGCGUGUUGUGAAAUGUAGAUGCUCAACAUCUGCACUGCAGCGCGAACUGGUUUCCUUGAGUACGCAUAAAGUGGGCGGAAUUCGUGGUGUAGCGGUGAAAUGCUUAGAUAUCACGAAGAACUCCGAUUGCGAAGGCAGCUCACUGGGGCGCAACUGACGCUGAAGCUCGAAAGCGCGGGUAUCGAACAGGAUUAGAUACCCUGGUAGUCCGCGCGGUAAACGAUGGAUGCCCGCUGUUGGGCCAACUGGUUCAGCGGCCAAGCGAAAGCAUUAAGCAUCCCACCUGGGGAGUACGCCGGCAACGGUGAAACUCAAAGGAAUUGACGGGGACCCGCACAAGCGGAGGAACAUGUGGUUUAAUUCGAUGAUACGCGAGGAACCUUACCCGGGCUUGAAUUGCAGAGGAAGGAUUUGGAGACAAUGACGCCCUUCGGGGCCUCUGUGAAGGUGCUGCAUGGUUGUCGUCAGCUCGUGCCGUGAGGUGUCGGCUUAAGUGCCAUAACGAGCGCAACCCCUCUCCAUAGUUGCCAUCAGGUUAAGCUGGGCACUCUGUGGACACUGCCACCGUAAGGUGUGAGGAAGGUGGGGAUGACGUCAAAUCAGCACGGCCCUUACGUCCGGGGCUACACACGUGUUACAAUGGCAGGUACAGAGAGCCGGUCGUAUGCAAAUACGAUCCAAUCCUUAAAGCCUGUCUCAGUUCGGGCUGGGGUCUGCAACCCGACCCCACGAAGCUGGAUUCGCUAGUAAUCGCGCAUCAGCCAUGGCGCGGUGAAUACGUUCCCGGGCCUUGUACACACCGCCCGUCAAGCCAUGAAAGCCGGGGGCGCCUGAAGUCCGUGACCGCAAGGAUCGGCCUAGGGCGAAACUGGUAAUUGGGGCUAAGUCGUAACAAGGUA
RNAcentral lists this ribosomal RNA (1221 nucleotides) under metagenome. Its description in RNAcentral is "bacterial SSU rRNA". It matches the Rfam family "Bacterial small subunit ribosomal RNA", at positions 267 to 1498 of the family's 1533-position model. The record is from RNAcentral.